RNAcentral lists this ribosomal RNA (1393 nucleotides) under uncultured bacterium. Its description in RNAcentral is "bacterial SSU rRNA". It matches the Rfam family "Bacterial small subunit ribosomal RNA". The record is from RNAcentral.
AUUCGCCCUUAGAGUUUGAUCCUGGCUCAGGACGAACGCUGGCGGUAUGCUUAAGACAUGCAAGUCGAGCGGAGUUUUUUGGGAGCUUGCUCCUGGAAAACUUAGCGGCGGACGGGUGAGUAACACGUGAGCAACCUGCCUCUUACAUCGGGAUACCAAUUGGAAACGAUUGUUAAUACCGAAUAUGACCACAGCAUCGCAUGAUGCAGGGGUGAAAGGGUUUACUGGUAAGAGAUGGGCUCGCGCCUGAUUAGCUUGUUGGUGGGGUAACGGCCUACCAAGGCGAUGAUCAGUAGCCGACCUGAGAGGGUGAUCGGCCACAUUGGGACUGAGAACGGCCCAGACUCCUACGGGAGGCAGCAGUCGGGAAUAUUGGGCAAUGGAGGAAACUCUGACCCAGCAAUACCGCGUGAAGGAUGAAGGUUUUCGGAUUGUAAACUUCUGUUAUAAAGGAAGAAUAAAAUGACGGUACUUUAUAAGUAAGCCCCGGCAAACUAUGUGCCAGCAGCCGCGGUGACACAUAGGGGGCAAGCGUUAUCCGGAAUGACUGGGUGUAAAGGGUGUGUAGGUGGCUUUUUAAGUUGGAAGUGAAAGCCCGGGGCUUAACCCCGGAACUGCUUUCAAAACUGGAUGGCUUGAGUGUGGGAGAGGUUAGUGGAACUCCUAGUGUAGCGGUGGAAUGCGUAGAUAUUAGGAAGAACAUCAGAGGCGAAGGCGACCAACUGGAACAUUACUGACACUGAAACACGAAAGUGUGGGGAGCAAACAGGAUUAGAUACCCUGGUAGUCCACACCGUAAACGAUGAGUACUAGAUGUUGGUGGUAUCGACUCCAUCAGUAUCGCAGCUAACGCAUUAAGUACUCCACCUGAGUAGUACGGCCGCAAGGUUGAAACUCAAAGAAAUUGACGGGGACCCGCACAAGCAGAGGAUCAUGCGGUUUAAUUCGACGCAACGCGAAAAACCUUACCAAGACUUGACAUCGUAAUGCAUACCAUAGAAAUAUGAUAGUAACUUCGGUUACAUUAUGACAGGUGGUGCAUGGUUGUCGUCAGCUCGUGUCGUGAGAUGUUCGGUUAAGUCCGGUAACGAGCGCAACCCCUAUUACUAGUUGCCAAUAUUAAGUUAGGAACUCUAGUGAGACUGCCGUGGAUAACACGGAGGAAGGUGGGGAUGACGUCAAAUCAUCAUGCUCCUUAUGUCUUGGGCUACACGCGUGAUACAAUGGCCACUACAAAGAGUUGCAAUACCGUAAGGUGGAGCCAAUCCCAAAAAAGUGGUCUUAGUUCAGAUUGUGGGCUGAAACCCGCCCACAUGAAGCUGAAUUUGCUAGUAAUCCCGAAUCAGCACGUCGGGGUGAAUUCGUUCCCGGGUCUUGCACACACCGCCCGUCA